RNAcentral lists this ribosomal RNA (481 nucleotides) under uncultured bacterium. RNAcentral's name for it is "partial 16S ribosomal RNA". It matches the Rfam family "Bacterial small subunit ribosomal RNA", at positions 28 to 505 of the family's 1533-position model. The record is from RNAcentral.
GACGAACGCUGGCGGCGUGCUUAACACAUGCAAGUCGAGCGCUGAAGCUCAGCUUUUGUUGGGUGGAUGAGUGGCGAACGGGUGAGUAACACGUGAGUAACCUGCCUCCUUCUUUGGGAUAACGCCCGGAAACGGGUGCUAAUACUGGAUAUUCACUGGUCCUCGCAUGGGGGUUGGUGGAAAGGGUUUUUCUGGUGGGGGAUGGGCUCGCGUCCUAUCAGCUUGUUGGUGGGGUGAUGGCCUACCAUGGCCUUGACGGGUAGCGGGACUGAGAGGGUGAGCGGUCAGAUUGGGACUGAGAUCCGGCGCAGACUCCUACGGGAGGCAGCCGUAGGGAAUAUUGCACAAUGGGCGAAAGCCUGAUGCAGCGACGCCGCGUGAGGGAUGGAGGCCUGCGGGUUGUGAACCUCUGUCGCUCAUGGUCAAGCCGCAACAAUGGUUGUGGUGAGGGUAGUGGGUAAAGAAGCGCCGUCUAACUACG